This 245-nucleotide ribosomal RNA is filed under the name uncultured bacterium. Its description in RNAcentral is "partial small subunit ribosomal RNA". It matches the Rfam family "Bacterial small subunit ribosomal RNA", at positions 26 to 285 of the family's 1533-position model. The record is from RNAcentral.
AGAAUCAACGCUGGCGGCGUGCCUAACACAUGCAAGUCGAACGAGAAAGUGGAGCAAUCCAUGAGUAAAGUGGCGCACGGGUGAGUAACGCGUGACUAACCUACCCUUGAGUGGGGGAUAACCUAGAGAAAUCUGGGCUAAUACCGCAUAAUACCUUCGGGUCAAAGGAGCAAUUCGCUUAAGGAGGGGGUCGCGGCCGAUUAGUUAGUUGGCGGGGUAAUGGCCCACCAAGACUAUGAUCGGUA